UCUAAUAGAAAUUUUUAUUAGUAUAGCCUGCUCUAUGUAAAAAUAAAUGGCCGCAGAACCCUGUGCUAAGGUAGCAUAAUAACUUGCCUUCUAAUUAAAGGCUAGUAUGAAAGGUAUCUCAUAUUGAUUUCUUUAUCAAAUAAAAAAAUUUAACUUAACCUUUUAGUAAAAAGGCUAAGAUUUAUAAAAAAGACGACAAGACCCUGACAAACUUUACUUUUUUGUUUCACUGGGGUGGUGAAAAAACUUUAUCUUUUUUUUUCCUAAAAAACAGAAAAAUUCUAUUCUUUCCAAGUUACUGCAGGGAUAACAGCAUAAUUUUUUCCAAAAGCUCUUAUAUAAGAAAAAGUUUAUGACCUCGAUGUUGAAUUAGGUAACUAUAAGGGGCAAAAUCUUUACAAGCAAGUCUGUUCGACUUUUAAUCUCCUACAUGAUUUGAGUUCAGACCGGUGUAAGCCAGGUCGGUUUCUAUCUUUUCUUUAAAAAUUUUCAGUACGAAAGGACCAAAAUUUUCUUAUUUUC
This 522-nucleotide ribosomal RNA is filed under the name Nemesia randa. Its description in RNAcentral is "partial 16S ribosomal RNA". It matches the Rfam family "Bacterial large subunit ribosomal RNA", at positions 1832 to 2710 of the family's 2925-position model. The record is from RNAcentral. Lineage: Eukaryota; Metazoa; Arthropoda; Arachnida; Araneae; Nemesiidae.